Molecule: microRNA, 21 nt
Filed under: Taeniopygia guttata (zebra finch)
Lineage: Eukaryota; Metazoa; Chordata; Aves; Passeriformes; Estrildidae
Description: tgu-miR-425-3p
Gene: tgu-miR-425-3p
Source: miRBase by way of RNAcentral
CAUCGGGGAUGUCGUGUCUUU